AACGAACGCUGGCGGCAUGCCUAACACAUGCAAGUCGAACGAGAUCUUCGGGUCUAGUGGCGCACGGGUGCGUAACGCGUGGGAAUCUGCCCUUUGGUUCGGAAUAACAGUUGGAAACGACUGCUAAUACCGGAUGAUGACGAAAGUCCAAAGAUUUAUCGCCAGAGGAUGAGCCCGCGUAGGAUUAGCUAGUUGGUGUGGUAAAGGCGCACCAAGGCGACGAUCCUUAGCUGGUCUGAGAGGAUGAUCAGCCACACUGGGACUGAGACACGGCCCAGACUCCUACGGGAGGCAGCAGUGGGGAAUAUUGGACAAUGGGCGGAAGCCUGGUCCAGCAAUGCCGCGUGAGUGAUGAAGGCCUUAGGGUUGUAAAGCUCUUCUACCCGGGAUGAUAAUGACAGUACCGGGAGAAUAAGCUCCGGCUAACUCCGUGCCAGCAGCCGCCGUAA
This 449-nucleotide ribosomal RNA is filed under the name uncultured bacterium. RNAcentral's name for it is "partial 16S ribosomal RNA". It matches the Rfam family "Bacterial small subunit ribosomal RNA", at positions 29 to 523 of the family's 1533-position model. The record is from RNAcentral.